This is a long non-coding RNA of Amphimedon queenslandica, 990 nucleotides long. RefSeq lists it as uncharacterized. The transcript is spliced from 4 exons. The record is from RefSeq and is a predicted model, not a curated record. NCBI's taxonomy places the organism in Eukaryota, Metazoa, Porifera, Demospongiae, Haplosclerida, Niphatidae.
ACUACACACCCAAGAGUUACCAUGCAUGAUCCGUGAAUGAUGGGUAUCAGGCCUGGACCAGGUUUGAUUCUAUAACGGUCCAGCAUCGACCGCCAUCACUGCUGAAUCGAGGCUGUUGCACUGGCCUGGACCAGUAUCUAUUUCAGUCCCGAUGUAGUCAUAGCUGAUACAGUAAUGUCUGUUCGUCAGCACUGGUCCAGGCUGUAUAUCAGUACUGGAUCAGAUCGAUGCUUUUCAAGAUGGCAGCCCCGCGUGGACUAUCUGACAUGUUUUGUUAAAGAAAAUCAUCUUAAUCUGACUCUUUAAGAGGAAUCUUGUUGGCUGUAUACACUAGGGCUAAAUCACUGGAUGUUAUGCUAUUUUGAACCAUUUAUUACUUAAACAUGAGUAGGAUACACGAUAUUUUGAGUAAAAAAUACAUGACUGGAAAAUAAAACGACUGACACCUUCCAAUUAAAGUUUACCACAUCUUGCCUACAAAAUCUCUAUGAUACGAAAAUAGAGACCUGGGUUUAUGAGGAAUUACCAAAGGGGUAUAAACUGCAUGAACAAACUUAUAAUAAAUUUAGGCUAAUUAUUAUUGUGAGAUUAAUGACUUCAGUUUAAUUGACUAUAAUUAGAAGUACAUACCUUUCAUUAUGGAUUCUCCGUUAACUUUCUAGUAUUGAGCCAAGCAUUGAAACAGAGCCAGAAGACCUUUCUGCAAUAAUCAUGACACUAGUGAAGACAAUGAGGAAUCAGGCGUAAAAAUGGUUCACUACAUGUGAUUGUAACUAUGUUUUUAAUUAGGGUGAAUGUAUUAGUGAUCAUGAUGAUGAAGAUAUUGUACUGAGAGACUUAUGAAUGAUAGUCACAAGUGUGAAUUUUUGAUGCGGAAGAUUAUUCUGGAAAUAUUAGUAUAGUAGGUGCUCCUUUAAUUCAUAUUAAUUUAUUAAUUUAGCAAGGCCACUAGUAUACAUUCUAUAGUUACCUUAUCUCACUAAGUUUCAA